ACCCGCUGAACUUAAGCAUAUCAAUAAGCGGAGGAAAAGAAACUAACAAGGAUUCCCUCAGUAACGGCGAGUGAAGAGGGAAGAGCUCAGUUUUGAAAUCUGGCAGUGAUAGUGCUGUCCGAGUUGUAAAUUGAAGAGAAUGUCAUCCACACUGGACCAUGUCUAAAUUGUAAUGAUCCACAGUCCUUUGAUGGAGUAUCAGAGAGGGUAAUAAUCCCGUCUUUAACGUGGACUACCAGUGUUCUAUGUGAUGCACUCUCUCAGAGUCGAGUAGUUUGGGAAUGCUGCUCUAAUGGGAGGUAAACUCCUUCUAAAGCUAAAUAUGGGCGAGAGACCGAUAGCGAACAAGUACCGUGAGGGAAAGAUGAAAAGAACUCUGAAAAGAGAGUCAAACAGAACGUGAAAUUGCUGAAAGGGAAGCGUUUGAAGUCAGAUGCGUCUUCAUGGAAUGACAGCUCAGUGGUAGAGACUGGGAACAGUGACUUGAAGACGGGCCAGCACUCACGUAGUCCAUUGGAAAAGGGACCAUGGAAUGUAGCUCACUUGUUGAGUGAUUAUAGCCUUGGUUCAUAUACAAUGUGUCUUAUGUGGGA
Molecule: ribosomal RNA, 593 nt
Rfam family: Eukaryotic large subunit ribosomal RNA